CAUUUAACGGUGUUUAGACAAUAAUAGUCUGCAGGCAUGGGUUCAUCUUGUGAAACCUGAAAGUUCUCUGAAGUUGUUUACGUUCUCAGUUUGGCUGACAGCCGCGCAUGCGCUCUGAAGUUUACAACUAAAUGUUUUGCAGACGUGGGCAUGCAGUGUCAGCGCGCGCAUGUUCUUUCUAUGUUUAUGUUUUGUACAGGACACCAGUUCCGACUUCCGAUAGUGUUUGUUUGGUGCUGAAGCGCAGGAAUACAUCAUGAUUCUGUUCACAUAUGGAGAUGAUCUGGAGGAUCUGGAUCAGACCAUUGAUGAAUAUCUAUUCUACAAUAUCAUGCAGAUCUGCAGCGACUGCUGACUGAAUGUGGAGGAAAGUUUCACUGGUUCAAUAACCAGAGAGAAUCAGACGAUCAGAUACGAGAACUACUGCAGAAGAUUGAAACAAUGAUGGAGGAGAACGGAGGGAAAUUUAAACACAUGAGGAGGAUACACAGCAUGGUCAGCAUUGUCAAUUUUUCAGCUGAAGAUCCAGAUGAGACUGAUGUGAUUCCUGAGAGCAAAGACCAGAUCAGGCCGGUUCUGCUGGGAGAAACUGGAUCUGGGCAAAGUGCCACUGGAAACAGAAAUCUGUUUGAAUCUUCAGCCGGUUCAAACUCUGAAACGAAACAGAGCCGCUCAGAAACCAAUGUCAGGAUGGGUAAAGAUAUCUGGUUUUAUUGA
Molecule: long non-coding RNA, 717 nt
Filed under: Sinocyclocheilus anshuiensis
Lineage: Eukaryota; Metazoa; Chordata; Actinopteri; Cypriniformes; Cyprinidae
Description: lncRNA (ENSSANG00000028438.1)
Source: RNAcentral